AGUCGAACGGAAAGGCCCUUCGGGGUACUCGAGUGGCGAACGGGUGAGUAACACGUGGGUGAUCUGCCCUGCACUUUGGGAUAAGCCUGGGAAACUGGGUCUAAUACCGAAUAGGACCGCAUGCUUCAUGGUGUGUGGUGGAAAGCUUUUGCGGUGUGGGAUGGGCCCGCGGCCUAUCAGCUUGUUGGUGAGGUAAUGGCUUACCAAGGCGACGACGGGUAGCCGGCCUGAGAGGGUGACCGGCCACACUGGGACUGAGAUACGGCCCAGACUCCUACGGGAGGCAGCAGUGGGGAAUAUUGCACAAUGGGCGCAAGCCUGAUGCAGCGACGCCGCGUGAGGGAUGACGGCCUUCGGGUUGUAAACCUCUUUCGCCAGGGACGAAGCGCAAGUGACGGUACCUGGAGAAGAAGGACCGGCCAACUACGUGCCAGCAGCCGCGGUAAUACGUAGGGUCCGAGCGUUGUCCGGAAUUACUGGGCGUAAAGAGCUCGUAGGUGGUUUGUCGCGUUGUUCGUGAAAACUCACAGCUUAACUGUGGGCGUGCGGGCGAUACGGGCAGACUUGAGUACUGCAGGGGAGACUGGAAUUCCUGGUGUAGCGGUGGAAUGCGCAGAUAUCAGGAGGAACACCGGUGGCGAAGGCGGGUCUCUGGGCAGUAACUGACGCUGAGGAGCGAAAGCGUGGGGAGCGAACAGGAUUAGAUACCCUGGUAGUCCACGCCGUAAACGGUGGGUACUAGGUGUGGGUUUCCUUCCUUGGGAUCCGUGCCGUAGCUAACGCAUUAAGUACCCCGCCUGGGGAGUACGGCCGCAAGGCUAAAACUCAAAGAAAUUGACGGGGGCCCGCACAAGCGGCGGAGCAUGUGGAUUAAUUCGAUGCAACGCGAAGAACCUUACCUGGGUUUGACAUGCACAGGACGCCGGCAGAGAUGUCGGUUCCCUUGUGGCCUGUGUGCAGGUGGUGCAUGGCUGUCGUCAGCUCGUGUCGUGAGAUGUUGGGUUAAGUCCCGCAACGAGCGCAACCCUUGUCUCAUGUUGCCAGCACGUUAUGGUGGGGACUCGUGAGAGACUGCCGGGGUCAACUCGGAGGAAGGUGGGGAUGACGUCAAGUCAUCAUGCCCCUUAUGUCCAGGGCUUCACACAUGCUACAAUGGCCGGUACAAAGGGCUGCGAUGCCGUGAGGUGGAGCGAAUCCUUUCAAAGCCGGUCUCAGUUCGGAUCGGGGUCUGCAACUCGACCCCGUGAAGUCGGAGUCGCUAGUAAUCGCAGAUCAGCAACGCUGCGGUGAAUACGUUCCCGGGCCUUGUACACACCGCCCGUCACGUCAUGAAAGUCGGUAACACCCGAAGCCGGUGGCCUAACCCCUUGUGGGAGGGAGC
RNAcentral lists this ribosomal RNA (1381 nucleotides) under Mycolicibacterium gilvum. RNAcentral's name for it is "bacterial SSU rRNA". It matches the Rfam family "Bacterial small subunit ribosomal RNA". The record is from RNAcentral. Lineage: Bacteria; Bacillati; Actinomycetota; Actinomycetes; Mycobacteriales; Mycobacteriaceae.